GAUGAACGCUGGCGGCGUGCCUAAUACAUGCAAGUCGAGCGAACAGACGAGGAGCUUGCUCCUCUAACGUUAGCGGCGGACGGGUGAGUAACACGUGGAUAACCUACCUAUAAGACUGGGAUAACUUCGGGAAACCGGAGCUAAUACCGGAUAAUAUAUUGAACCGCAUGGUUCAAUAGUGAAAGACGGUUUUGCUGUCACUUAUAGAUGGAUCCGCGCCGCAUUAGCUAGUUGGUAAGGUAACAGCUUACCAAGGCAACGAUGCGUAGCCGACCUGAGAGGGUGAUCGGCCACACUGGAACUGAGACACGGUCCAGACUCCUACGGGAGGCAGCAGUAGGGAAUCUUCCGCAAUGGGCGAAAGCCUGACGGAGCAACGCCGCGUGAGUGAUGAAGGUCUUCGGAUCGUAAAACUCUGUUAUUAGGGAAGAACAAAUGUGUAAGUAGCUAUGCACGUCUUGACGGUACCUAAUCAGAAAGCCACGGCUAACUACGUG
This 497-nucleotide ribosomal RNA is filed under the name uncultured bacterium. RNAcentral's name for it is "partial 16S ribosomal RNA". It matches the Rfam family "Bacterial small subunit ribosomal RNA", at positions 28 to 507 of the family's 1533-position model. The record is from RNAcentral.